RNAcentral lists this ribosomal RNA (396 nucleotides) under Triticum aestivum (bread wheat). RNAcentral describes it as "partial small subunit ribosomal RNA". Lineage: Eukaryota; Viridiplantae; Streptophyta; Magnoliopsida; Poales; Poaceae. The record is from RNAcentral.
AUGCAAGAAAGGCUGCCGUUUCGUCCGAUCCGGCCAAGCAAAGGUAAGGGAGGUCUUACGUGUACCAGUCAACCCGCCAGACUCACCACCAUCCUCAAGUUACUGUCGCUGCUGCCCAUUUGUUGUGGAGUCGGCAGCAUCCGCUGCUCCUCGACGGCAGUCCAUGACAACAGCACGGACAUGAUCUCGCUGCUAGAUUUCAAGCGGGCCAUCACCAACGACUCAAGGCAAGCCUUGAGAUCUUGGCACGCCGGUGUCCCCCUUUGCACAUGGAAGGGCGUCGUCUGCAGCAGCCCGAAGCACCCAGGGCGAGUCAUGGAGCUGGACCUUCACUCCCUAUCGCUGUCAGGCACGAUUUCACCGUCCCUCGGGAAUCUAACGUUCCUUAGGAGUUAG